AUACUCUGAUUUCUCUUCAGGUCAUAUAAAUCUUUAGCCUUUUACUACAGAUUUCCUUGGAGAGGAAUAGCAGAAGUUGUACAAGGUAGAUAGAAAAUUCAAAAUAUAAUAAUAU
RNAcentral lists this small nuclear RNA (115 nucleotides) under Pavo cristatus (Indian peafowl). RNAcentral's name for it is "U5 spliceosomal RNA (ENSPSTG00000007998.1)". It matches the Rfam family "U5 spliceosomal RNA". Rfam says of the family: U5 RNA is a component of both types of known spliceosome. The precise function of this molecule is unknown, though it is known that the 5' loop is required for splice site selection and p220 binding, and that both the 3' stem-loop and the Sm site are important for Sm protein binding and cap methylation. Lineage: Eukaryota; Metazoa; Chordata; Aves; Galliformes; Phasianidae. The record is from Rfam by way of RNAcentral.